CUCUACACAAGACGGGCUGCCUCAGUCGCGGACGGACAAGCAGAUCGCCAUGGCGAUGGGUCCGGAUGCAAGCCUUCGCUGCCAGCGAUGUUCUUCCCUGGCCCCUCAUCGGAAGCAUCCACCCAGGUGCCCUGCUGUGUACCCCAUGUAGCUACAGAGACCAUGUACAGGUAGAAGACAGCGGAGGGCAAAGCAAGAGUUUUCUUUUAGGAAGGUGAAGAUUUAUUGACAAGAGGUGCAAGAUUCUAAGGGGCCGCUCAGUCUCCUGCCGCCAGAGCCGAUCUGGAACCUGGGAUAAUGGAAUCAGGCCUCUCUCCGCUGUUCC
Long non-coding RNA from Scleropages formosus (Asian bonytongue), 325 nucleotides. RefSeq lists it as uncharacterized. Lineage: Eukaryota; Metazoa; Chordata; Actinopteri; Osteoglossiformes; Osteoglossidae. The transcript has 4 exons. The record is from RefSeq and is a predicted model, not a curated record.